RNA transcript from Cercocebus atys (sooty mangabey), 1825 nucleotides. RefSeq lists it as uncharacterized. The transcript has a single exon. NCBI's taxonomy places the organism in Eukaryota, Metazoa, Chordata, Mammalia, Primates, Cercopithecidae. The record is from RefSeq and is a predicted model, not a curated record.
UCUAAGAAGACAAGAGUCAGUCUAAGACGCCCAGCCAGUGGCGGCUUUUGUGAGCAGGUAGGCUGAUCUCUCUCAUCUGCACAGAAGGGAAGAUCUACAGCUGUCGAGGACGGCAGGUGGCAUCUCGGGGCCUCCUGUGUGCUGUGGCUCACGGUGCAUGGGGAAAGCAGCAGGUGUCGAUGGACCCUGCGCUUGGGGGGCAUGGGGAGCUGGGAGACAGCAGGCAAGGGCUUCGUUAACAGAACGAACACCAGCUGCAGGCCCAGCGCUGCGGGGAGCCGGCCAAGGCCACACUGGAGUCCUCACCCUCCCAGGCCAGCGGGAUGGGGUGGUGGGAAAAUGGCAGCAAGCAAGCUUCAGAAGAGACGCUCAGCUCAGGAGGCGACUCUUAACGAGCCUCACCUACUCCAGGUACAUUUCGAUCUGUUUCCGCGUCCUCACCGUACACACUCAGACCUUAUGUUAUCAGAUUUGGGGCUGUUUCUGCGUCCUCACCGUACACACUCAGACCUUACGUUAUCACAUUUGGGGCUGUUUCUGCGUCCUUGCCGUACACACUCAGACCUUACGUUAUCACAUUUGGGGCUGUUUCUGCGUCCUCGCCGUACACACUCAGACCCUAUGUUAUCCGAUUUUGAUCUGUUUCUGCGUCCUUGCCGUACACACUCAGACCUUACGUUAUCACAUUUGGGGCUGUUUCUGCAUCCUCGCCGUACACACUCAGACCUUAUGUUAUCACAUUUGGGGCUGGACGUCAGGGGUGUCAGGUUGGCGUCCCCCCUCCCCACCCCACUCCCCAGCACCGGAUGUCAUCUGUAUGUCCUGAAUGACUGGCUCCCUGCCUUAGCAUGCUCCAUGUUCCUGCACUCCUUGGCCAUCACGGAAUGUUCUGGAUGUGGAGACCAUGUUCAUCCAAACCCUUUUUUGCGUGGGGCCCAGGGAUCCUGUGGGAAAGGUGUCAGCCUCCUCGCUGGAGUUCAGACGUUCACGCACCUGUGCGUUAGACUGAGGACGUGUUCUGGAAAGGGACUUGAGGGGAUCCCCAGGAAGGUGUCCCGAGAAGGAGGCUGGCAGUGCAGGAUGAGGUGGGGUCCGCCGGCCCUGGGUCAGCACCCCUCCCGCCACGAAGGCCCACGGGUUUCCCGACGGGGAGGGGAGCUGGAAGCAGGAGGAGGACCCUCCAGCAGCGGCCCCCCAGGCAGGGCAGCCACAGAGCUGGGGACAGCACUUGACUGCGGGAGGCCCGUCAUGGGGUUCCCAGGGCUCCUGCAGGGGCCUCGUGAGGGAGCCCUUGGGGUCACUCCGCAGUCUGGGCUUUCUGUAGUCCAGUGGGUGAGGGCGCCAAGCACCAGGAGAGAUCCAAGGAUGCGCUUAUGUUUGGGCCACCCCUGGUGGGCGUAUUCGUUCAGCUCCCUUCGUUCCCUGGCCAGCUCUACUUACAUCUGUUUGUGAAGAAUUAUUACACAGAACCUAGAAACCAGCUUUCGCUUUUCUCCCAGGGUUGGAGCCCAGGAAGCAAACCAGCACUGCACCCUGGAUUUCAGCCAGCGGACCAAAGCCCGGCCCUCAGCUUUCUCAGACCGGCCCUGGAGUGGGUGGCCCGGGGAGACCUGGGAAGUGGCCCUGCUGGUCCUGCAGACUGUGUGGCUUCGCAGCUGUCUAGAUGGAGGGGUCACAGUUCUCUCAUGCUGGACGAGGACACUGACGCAUGGAAACUCACCCCAAACCUUGAAUCGUGAUGGCAUCUGAGGCAGCCCGACCGGCGUCACAUGAACCUGAAAAGAAUCAAGAUAUAAUUUAUUUUUAAAAUAAAUCACUUUCAGAA